AUGCACAAAACUAUAGGAAAUAGUUGUUUGUUUCCUAACCAACAUGCAACAGGAUAUCAUGCACGCAUUUGGAGAAAUAAUCGGACGUGGAAGCCAUGGAGAAUAAAAAGGAAAAGGCCAACAUGCAACGGAUUUAUUAGUUGUGUUUCACGGAACAUACAAACUCCCGAACUGCAUGUGCUAGAAAAUAGGAAGAGAAGGAGCCUGCACGUACGUGGAGAUAUGUUUCCAAAUCAGCCAGCUAUGUACGUUUGGAAAAUUAAAACAAAGGUAGCAGAUCAGAACGGCCAGGAUUUCGGUUGCACUACAAGUCGCGCAGGGGAAAAUAAAUCAGGUACGUAUACGUAA
RNAcentral lists this ribosomal RNA (348 nucleotides) under Triticum aestivum (bread wheat). RNAcentral describes it as "partial small subunit ribosomal RNA". Lineage: Eukaryota; Viridiplantae; Streptophyta; Magnoliopsida; Poales; Poaceae. The record is from RNAcentral.